RNAcentral lists this microRNA precursor (86 nucleotides) under Takifugu rubripes (torafugu). Its description in RNAcentral is "mir-130 microRNA precursor family". It matches the Rfam family "mir-130 microRNA precursor family". Rfam says of the family: The hairpin precursors (represented here) are predicted based on base pairing and cross-species conservation -- their extents are not known. In this case the mature sequence is excised from the 3' arm of the hairpin. Lineage: Eukaryota; Metazoa; Chordata; Actinopteri; Tetraodontiformes; Tetraodontidae. RNAcentral also lists the same sequence under 2 other names. The record is from Rfam by way of RNAcentral.
CUCUGCCUGACACUCUUUCCCUGUUGCACUACUGUGGGAGCUGUGGCAUUAAAGCAGUGCAAUAAUGAAAGGGCAUCAGUCAGCUG